This 718-nucleotide small RNA is filed under the name Pongo abelii (Sumatran orangutan). RNAcentral's name for it is "processed transcript". Lineage: Eukaryota; Metazoa; Chordata; Mammalia; Primates; Hominidae. The record is from RNAcentral.
ACUCAGCACUGCAAAAUAACUUGAUAUUUUUUACCGGACAGAAAGGCCAUGGGUUGAAUGGCGAUGACUUCCUGGCUGUGGGCCUGCUCAAUGGCAGUGUGGUUUAUAGUUAUAACCUGGGGUCUGGCAUAGCAAGCAUCAGGAGCGAGCCCCUCAAUCUGAGCCUUGGAGUCCACACUGUUCAUCUGGGGAAGUUCUUCCAAGAGGGCUGGCUGAAGGUAGAUGAUCACAAAAAUAAAUCCAUUAUCGCCCCAGGAAGACUGGCUGGUCUCAAUGUCUUCAGUCAGUUUUAUGUAGGUGGCUACAGUGAAUACACUCCAGAUCUCUUACCAAAUGGAGCAGAUUUUAAAAAUGGUUUUCAAGUUCAAAAGGCAAGAGACAGACUGCAGUCAACCCAUCCAUACCACCAAGGGGUAGCCCACAGAGGCCAGAGCAAGCCAAGAGGAUUAAGGACAACAUUGUGCUUGGAAACACUAAGAUUGCACACUCCUGGAAGUAUGUCAACUGCCACAGUCCUUAUCUCACUGCGUCAUCAAGGCUGGAGUACAGUGGUGCCAUCUCAGCUCACUGCAACCUCCAUCUCCAGGGCUCAAUCAAUCCUCCCACCUUAGCCUCUCAUGUAGCUGAGCCACUAAACCCAGCUAACACAUCCUUACAAAGCUGAUUUAUAUUGUAGUAGAGUUAUAAAAUACAGACAUGCUUUAAAUUGUUAUAACAA